RNAcentral lists this transfer RNA (69 nucleotides) under Otolemur crassicaudatus (thick-tailed bush baby). Its description in RNAcentral is "tRNA-Ile". The record is from RNAcentral. Lineage: Eukaryota; Metazoa; Chordata; Mammalia; Primates; Galagidae.
AGAAAUAUGUCUGACAAUAGAAUUACUUUGAUAGAGUAAAACAUAGAGGUGCGAACCCUCUUAUUUCUA